GUGCUUGCUACGGCUGCACAUAUACUAAAAUUGGAUCGAUACAGAGAAGAUUAGCAUGGCCCCUGCAAAAGUGUGACAUGCAAAUCCUUAAAGCGUUCCAUAUUUUG
This is a small nuclear RNA of Denticeps clupeoides (denticle herring), 107 nucleotides long. The record is from Ensembl. NCBI's taxonomy places the organism in Eukaryota, Metazoa, Chordata, Actinopteri, Clupeiformes, Denticipitidae.